This 218-nucleotide long non-coding RNA is filed under the name Elaeis guineensis (African oil palm). RNAcentral describes it as "long non-coding RNA (EGUI_LNC062981)". The record is from RNAcentral. Lineage: Eukaryota; Viridiplantae; Streptophyta; Magnoliopsida; Arecales; Arecaceae.
GAGAAUCAAUCCCCGCUGGAGCUGUAGGGACUUACCUACCAAAUCUACCAUCGAAAAGAACUCUAGAAUUAGAAGAAUGUUACUAUAUGCCCAAGAUCAUUAGAAAUAUCAUAUCUAUACCUCUUUUAUUACAUAAUGGAUAUGAAAUGAAACUUAUGGGCAAUGGUUGCUCCAUAUUUCAUUCUAAUGAAUUAUUUGGCAAUGGGUAUUUUGGAUAA